GUGUCAGCCGCCGCGGUAAUACGGAGGGUGCGAGCGUUAAUCGGAAUUACUGGGCGUAAAGGGCACGCAGGCGGUUAAUUAAGUUGGAUGUGAAAUCCCCGGGCUUAACCUGGGAAUGGCAUUCAAGACUGGUUAGCUAGAGUCUUGUAGAGGGGGGUAGAAUUCCAUGUGUAGCGGUGAAAUGCGUAGAGAUGUGGAGGAAUACCGGUGGCGAAGGCGGCCCCCUGGACAGAGACUGACGCUCAUGUGCGAAAGCGUGGGGAGCAAACAGGAUUAGAUACCCUGGUAGUCCACGCUGUAAACGAUGUCGAUUUGGAGGUUGUGGUCAUGAAUUGUGGCCUCCGGAGCUAACGCGUUAAAUCGACCGCCUGGGGAGUACGGUCGCAAGGUUAAAACUUAAAGAAAUUGACGG
Molecule: ribosomal RNA, 412 nt
Filed under: uncultured bacterium
Lineage: Bacteria
Description: bacterial SSU rRNA
Rfam family: Bacterial small subunit ribosomal RNA
Source: RNAcentral